RNAcentral lists this ribosomal RNA (468 nucleotides) under uncultured bacterium. RNAcentral's name for it is "partial 16S ribosomal RNA". It matches the Rfam family "Bacterial small subunit ribosomal RNA", at positions 28 to 507 of the family's 1533-position model. The record is from RNAcentral.
GACGAACGCUGGCGGCGUGCUUAACACAUGCAAGUCGAACGGAAAGGCCCUGCUUUUGUGGGGUGCUCGAGUGGCGAACGGGUGAGUAACACGUGAGUAACCUGCCCUUGACUUUGGGAUAACUUCAGGAAACUGGGGCUAAUACCGGAUAGGAGCUCCUGCUGCAUGGUGGGGGUUGGAAAGUUUCGGCGGUUGGGGAUGGACUCGCGGCUUAUCAGCUUGUUGGUGGGGUAGUGGCUUACCAAGGCUUUGACGGGUAGCCGGCCUGAGAGGGUGACCGGCCACAUGGGGACUGGGAUACGGCCCAGACUCCUACGGGAGGCAGCAGUGGGGAAUAUUGCACAAUGGGCGGAAGCCUGAUGCAGCAACGCCGCGUGCGGGAUGACGGCCUUCGGGUUGUAAACCGCUUUCGCCUGUGACGAAGCGUGAGUGACGGUAAUGGGUAGAGAAGCACCGGCUAACUACGUG